GUGGAGCUAUUUUCUUUGCUCUCCCUGUCGUGCGUCUUUUAUACAAUGCAACAGGUAAAAAUCAAUUCAAUAAUAUGAUAUAAUCAUUUAAUAGCUUUGGAUACUGAAAAUAGAUAUUUAUUCAGUAUUAGUAUUUGUCACAAGCAAUGUUCUAAGGACAGAAUAACUUCAGAAUCAUCUAGUUUCAUCAAGGGCCAUAUAUUUUAUCUAAUCAAGUAUCAACGUAGGAUUUGCAAAACGCAAUUUUAUCAAGAACAUAAAAUGUUUAGUGUCCCUACCCCAUAAUACCAAGUUCUACUGCAGCUUUGUAUUGAAUAGGUAUCUCCAUGAGAGCGGCAAGAGCAAAAGCUGUUUCUUUCUCAGAUGGAGUUGCAUUUUUUGACAUAAUGGCGGUAAAAUUAACAAACUGCAACAAGAAGUAGAAUAUACAUUCUAAACUCUAUUAUAAAUCCAUUGAAAUUCAAACUUAGCUGUAUGCUGCCAAUGAUAUACCUGAAAAUUAUCAAAUUCACGUGCAGGGAUCUUGUCAUCAAAUUUCUGCAUGUCUUCCCAAGGUCCAUCACCGACUCCAACAAGCACAAUGGAAAGUGGAUAUGAACUGCUUACAUAAAUGAAACAAGAUAUGAACAACGGUUAAGAGAAUAAGUCCAUGGAGACUGCUAAUAAAAGUAGACAUAGUCUGUUAUUUCUUCAGAAGAUGGAAGCUUAAAGCAAGAAGCAAAAGUCAGGUAAUUCAAAACUCUACCUUGCAGCAACAAUUGACUUUAUUGUUUUCUGUUCUUGUGAACUCAGUUCUCCAUCACCUGUAUUGACACUCCUUGUAACCUUCACAGUAAAAGAAAUAAGUACAUUGAUAAAAAAGGUAGUGUUUGGGAGAAGAGAGAGCUGAGGAUUCAACCUGGCCAUCUGCAAUGAUAACCAAAACAUGAUACUGGCCUCCACUCUUCUCCACAAUGUCCAUUGCAGCCUCAACCACCGGAGCAUAAGAAGUUGGUCCUUAACACAAUUACAUAUAUGUUUCUAUGAGGCUGUGAUUCUAAGAAUAAGGAUAAUUAAAAUUUUUUAUCAUCACCAGGUAAUGUCAAAAGAAAAGGCAGAACACAGAUGAUUAACCACUAGGCUACUUAUUGGAAUAGAUACUUUUUCAUGACAGAUCAGGAUUGUAUAUAUGUUGACAUCGUUUUUCAAACCAAAUAUGGUUUUCAUGAAAAGUUGAAAGAAAAAUGCCAACCUGCAAGUCGCAAGUUUGGAACAAUGUUUCUAUAGCAGGCCAAAACUUCUUCAAAACCAUGGCACGGGGUAUGAUCAUCAUGAAAACUAAACACUUCUUGAUCAUGUGUGGUAGCUGUAAGUAAACAAAUAAAAUAUAUAAAUAAAUAAUCCAGUGGUUAAUUUUGAGAGUUCGUGAAAGUAGUAACAUGGUUUGACUUAGACUUCUAAAGGAUCAUAUAGCUUACCAUCACCAAAACCAAAACAAGGAAUUAAGUUGUCUUCAUCAAAUGGAGCCAGAGUCUUUCCAAUGAUAGUGAUGGCUUUCUCAUAUGGAUUAGGUGUGUCGCCAAUGGCAUGAAGGCUCCGAUUAUUGAAUGAAACUUUGCCUUCAAUAACAACAUUGAUGCAUUGGCUUCAAACAGAUACGAAACACAAACAAUUUCACAAAAUUAUAAAUCAGAAAGCAUUUAUCACUCUUAUGCAUUAUUAAGAGACAUGGUGCCACUUCAUAUACUAGUUCGGUUUCACUCAGGAUCCUUGAGAUUAAAUGUUGUGUACCGAUUCUUAAUUCUAUUUACUGAACAAAAAUAUACCAGUCCAUUCAUUGCUUUUAGUGAAAUCGAUCCCAAGAAUGAGAUUGGAUGAUUCUAGACCAGAAUCUCUCAAGGCAGCUGUUACCUGAAAAGAGAGACAGCAUUUUCCAAGUUUCAGAAACUCAAACUUGCCACAUGUACCAAGAUGACAGUUUGCACAACGCAGGCAGAACAUUAUCACUGAACUUAGCAGCCCAGUCAGGACUCUUCAACAAUUCCCAGCAGCCAAGAUCUAUAGGCCAUUAUACAAAAAUUAUGCUAAGCUACAAAUUAUCAAGUCAAAUACUUAUUUUCAGUUGUUCUGUUCAAAACUAUUGUAUUUUUGUUCCUAGUUCAGAUUAUUUACAUAUUUGCAAAUGCAUGUACAUCCCAGGAGCAGGCCAAACAAAUGAACGUUGACUAAACCUUCCAAGUUUCGGCCAUUUUGAAUAAUCUUAUUUUCAGAAUGGUUAAUUAGGCAAAAUCAGUUGUGUUCUGCCUUUUCCACGAGGUGCGUGACGUGUCAAACAGGGCAAAAUAUGGACACAUUUUCUACAGAGUACAGACUAUACAAAGUGGUUGCAGGUCAUGUAUAACGUUGUGUAUGGAAUGGAGGAACCCAUGUGAUUCCCCAUCUUUACUUUAAUCACCAAACAAGGCAGCAGGGGGACCAUCUCAUCUCAUCUCAUCAAUGAGUGAGCAGAAAAAGGAGACAAAAUUUAUUGAUUCUUCACGACACUCAAAAGGUUCUUUGUUUUUUUUCAAGGAUAAACCGUGUUGACUGGGAGAGAAAAACGCGUGUACUGUUCAAAUUCAAGUUGGUGAAAGAAAACUACUAAUUCAAAUGGGGGGAUGCUCCAAUUAAUGACCCCAUUUCCCACCAAACGGAGAAACCAUUAUCAAUUUUCGUUUUAAAUAUAAUUUCUUCUCACUACUUGUUCCCAUCUUCUUCAGCUUCAACCUAUACACCCAAUAGUACUUGAAACAAGUGCUUGAUGAGCGAACACCCUUUUGCUGCAACACUAUCUACAAAGUGUUUUUGGAUAAUAGGCAACUAACUCGUUAGAUUUUUACAUGUACCCUCUCUCCAAUACGACUCCCAUAUCAUAUCCUUCAAGGUCUUCCUAAUUUACAAAUAGACUCCUGAUAUUUUAUCAGCAAUAUCAUGGACUCCCUUCCAGUUUGGGUGGUCCUUAUAUCACCAUCCUAUAUUCCUAUAUCUAAAAAAAGUGGAGGAAAAAAAAGGAACAAAUAAAAUUCUAAAAAUUAAAUGAGCGGUUCAAAUUGAGUUUUGAUUUUUAA
RNAcentral lists this long non-coding RNA (3086 nucleotides) under Citrus x clementina. Its description in RNAcentral is "Citrus clementina (C. clementina) long non-coding RNA (CCLE_LNC000642)". Lineage: Eukaryota; Viridiplantae; Streptophyta; Magnoliopsida; Sapindales; Rutaceae. The record is from RNAcentral.